Molecule: ribosomal RNA, 506 nt
Filed under: uncultured bacterium
Lineage: Bacteria
Description: bacterial SSU rRNA
Rfam family: Bacterial small subunit ribosomal RNA
Source: RNAcentral
GGAACUGUGAGACAGGUGCUGCAUGGCUGUCGUCAGCUCGUGUUGUGAAAUGUUGGGUUAAGUCCCGCAACGAGCGCAACCCUUAUCCUUUGUUGCCAGCGGUCCGGCCGGGAACUCAAAGGAGACUGCCAGUGAUAAACUGGAGGAAGGUGGGGAUGACGUCAAGUCAUCAUGGCCCUUACGACCAGGGCUACACACGUGCUACAAUGGCGCAUACAAAGAGAAGCGACCUCGCGAGAGCAAGCGGACCUCAUAAAGUGCGUCGUAGUCCGGAUUGGAGUCUGCAACUCGACUCCAUGAAGUCGGAAUCGCUAGUAAUCGUGGAUCAGAAUGCCACGGUGAAUACGUUCCCGGGCCUUGUACACACCGCCCGUCACACCAUGGGAGUGGGUUGCAAAAGAAGUAGGUAGCUUAACCUUCGGGAGGGCGCUUACCACUUUGUGAUUCAUGACUGGGGUGAAGUCGUAACAAGGUAACCGUAGGGGAACCUGCGGCUGGAUCACCUC